RNAcentral lists this transfer RNA (71 nucleotides) under Sus scrofa (pig). It matches the Rfam family "tRNA". Rfam says of the family: Transfer RNA (tRNA) molecules are approximately 80 nucleotides in length. The record is from Rfam by way of RNAcentral. Lineage: Eukaryota; Metazoa; Chordata; Mammalia; Artiodactyla; Suidae.
UCCCUGGUGGUCUAAUGGUUAGGACUAGUGCUUUCACCACUGUGGCCUGGGUUCAAUCCCUGGUUGGGCAA